RNAcentral lists this ribosomal RNA (301 nucleotides) under uncultured bacterium. RNAcentral describes it as "partial 16S ribosomal RNA". It matches the Rfam family "Bacterial small subunit ribosomal RNA", at positions 509 to 807 of the family's 1533-position model. The record is from RNAcentral.
CAGCCGCCACGGUAAAACGUAGGUGGCAAGCGUUGUCCGGAAUUAUUGGGCGUAAAGGGCUCGCAGGCGGUUUCUUAAGUCUGAUGUGAAAGCCCCCGGCUCAACCGGGGAGGGUCAUUGGAAACUGGGAAACUUGAGUGCAGAAGAGGAGAGUGGAAUUCCACGUGUAGCGGUGAAAUGCGUAGAGAUGUGGAGGAACACCAGUGGCGAAGGCGACUCUCUGGUCUGUAACUGACGCUGGGGAGCGAAAGCGUGGGGAGCGAACAGGAUUAGAUACCCCGGUAGUCCCUGUCUCUUAUAC